Molecule: ribosomal RNA, 253 nt
Filed under: uncultured bacterium
Lineage: Bacteria
Description: partial 16S ribosomal RNA
Rfam family: Bacterial small subunit ribosomal RNA
Source: RNAcentral
UACGAAGGGGGCUAGCGUUGCUCGGAAUCACUGGGCGUAAAGGGUGCGUAGGCGGUCGGGUAAGUCUGAUGUGAAAUCUCACAGCUUAACUGUGAAACUGCAUUGGAUACUAUUCGGCUAGAGAGUUGGAGGGGGGACUGGAAUUCUUGGUGUAGCAGUGAAAUGCGUAGAUAUCAAGAGGAACACCAGUGGCGAAGGCGAGUCCCUGGACAACUUCUGACGCUGAGGCACGAAAGCUAGGGGAGCAAACAGG